GACGAACGCUGGCGGCGUGCCUAAUACAUGCAAGUCGAACGCUUUUUCUUUCACCGGAGCUUGCUCCACCGAAAGAAAAAGAGUGGCGAACGGGUGAGUAACACGUGGGUAACCUGCCCAUCAGAAGGGGAUAACACUUGGAAACAGGUGCUAAUACCGUAUAACACUAUUUUCCGCAUGGAAGAAAGUUGAAAGGCGCUUUUGCGUCACUGAUGGAUGGACCCGCGGUGCAUUAGCUAGUUGGUGAGGUAACGGCUCACCAAGGCAACGAUGCAUAGCCGACCUGAGAGGGUGAUCGGCCACACUGGGACUGAGACACGGCCCAGACUCCUACGGGAGGCAGCAGUAGGGAAUCUUCGGCAAUGGACGAAAGUCUGACCGAGCAACGCCGCGUGAGUGAAGAAGGUUUUCGGAUCGUAAAACUCUGUUGUUAGAGAAGAACAAGGAUGAGAGUAAAACGUUCAUCCCUUGACGUAUCUACCAGA
Molecule: ribosomal RNA, 485 nt
Filed under: Enterococcus casseliflavus
Lineage: Bacteria; Bacillati; Bacillota; Bacilli; Lactobacillales; Enterococcaceae
Description: bacterial SSU rRNA
Rfam family: Bacterial small subunit ribosomal RNA
Source: RNAcentral